RNAcentral lists this ribosomal RNA (458 nucleotides) under uncultured bacterium. Its description in RNAcentral is "partial 16S ribosomal RNA". It matches the Rfam family "Bacterial small subunit ribosomal RNA", at positions 28 to 507 of the family's 1533-position model. The record is from RNAcentral.
GAUCAACGCUGGCGGCGUGCAUGAGACAUGCAAGUCGAACGAAGGAUCGGGCUUGCUCGAUCCUUAGUGGCGGACGGCUGAGUAACGCGUAGGUGACCUACCCCGAAGUGGGGAAUAACUGCCCGAAAGGGCGGCUAAUACCGCAUGUGGUCGCACGUUCAUUCGUGCGAGUAAAGCCGCAAGGCGCUUCGGGAGGGGCCUGCGUCCGAUUAGCUCGUUGGUGGGGUAAUGGCUUACCAAGGCGACGAUCGGUAGGUGGUCUGAGAGGACGAUCACCCAGACUGGGACUGAGACACGGCCCAGACUCCUACGGGAGGCAGCAGUCGGGAAUUUUGCUCAAUGGGGGAAACCCUGAAGCAGCAACGCCGCGUGAGGGAUGAAGGCCUUCGGGUUGUAAACCUCUUUUGUCAGGGACGAUGAUGACGGUACCUGGCGAAUAAGCCACGGCUAACUACGUG